RNAcentral lists this transfer RNA (66 nucleotides) under Asbolus verrucosus. Its description in RNAcentral is "tRNA-Asn". The record is from RNAcentral. Lineage: Eukaryota; Metazoa; Arthropoda; Insecta; Coleoptera; Tenebrionidae.
UUAAUUGAAACCAAAAUAGAGGUAUGUCACUGUUAAUGACAACAAUGAAAGCAACUUCCAAUUAAA